Molecule: ribosomal RNA, 508 nt
Filed under: uncultured bacterium
Lineage: Bacteria
Description: partial 16S ribosomal RNA
Rfam family: Bacterial small subunit ribosomal RNA
Source: RNAcentral
GACGAACGCUGGCGGCGCGCUUAACACAUGCAAGUCGAGCGAGAACCAGGGCUUCGGCCCUGGGGACAGCGGCGAACGGGUGAGUAACACGUGGGUAAUCUGCCCUCGGCACCGGAAUAGCCCGGGGAAACCCGGAUUAAUGCCGGAUGGCCCCUUCACCUCGCGAGGUGUCGGGAAAAGGUAGCUUCGGCCUCUGGCCGAGGAUGAGCCCGCGGCGGAUUAGCUUGUUGGCGGGGUAACGGCCCACCAAGGCGACGAUCCGUAGCUGGUCUGAGAGGACGAUCAGCCACACUGGGACCGAGACACGGCCCAGACUCCUACGGGAGGCAGCAGUGGGGAAUCUUGCGCAAUGGGCGAAAGCCUGACGCAGCGACGCCGCGUGAGGGAAGAAGGCCUUCGGGUUGUAAGCCUCUUUCAGGAGGGACGAAGCUACUCGGGUGAAUAGCCCAGAGGGUGACGGUACCUCCAGAAGAAGCCCCGGCUAACUACGUGCCAGCCGCCGCUGUAA